This 497-nucleotide ribosomal RNA is filed under the name uncultured bacterium. RNAcentral describes it as "partial 16S ribosomal RNA". It matches the Rfam family "Bacterial small subunit ribosomal RNA", at positions 28 to 507 of the family's 1533-position model. The record is from RNAcentral.
GAUGAACGCUGGCGGCGUGCCUAAAACAUGCAAGUCGAGCGAACAGACGAGGAGCUUGCUCCUCUGACGUUAGCGGCGGACGGGUGAGUAACACGUGGAUAACCUACCUAUAAGACUGGGAUAACUUCGGGAAACCGGAGCUAAUACCGGAUAAUAUAUUGAACCGCAUGGUUCAAUAGUGAAAGACGGUUUUGCUGUCACUUAUAGAUGGAUCCGCGCCGCAUUAGCUAGUUGGUAAGGUAACGGCUUACCAAGGCAACGAUGCAUAGCCGACCUGAGAGGGGGAUCGGCCACACUGGGACUGAGACACGGGCCAAACUCCUACGGGAGGAAGCAGGAGGGAAGCUGCCGCAAUGGACGAAAGGCGGACGGAGCAACGCCGCGUGAGUGAAGAAGGUUGUCGGAUAGUAAAACUCUGUUGUUAGAGAAGAACAAGUGCUAGAGUAACUGGUGGAGCCUGGACGGUACCUAACCAGAGAGCCAGGGAUAACUACGGG